UGGUUAUAGUAGAGUGUAGGCUUUGCCUGCUAUCUCUUACCCAUGUCUUUUGAGUACCUUCGUUUCCUCGGCGGGUCCGCCCGCCGACUGGACAAUUUAAACCAUUUGCAGUUGCAAUCAGCGUCUGAAAAAACUUAAUAAUUACAACUUUCAACAACGGAUCUCUUGGUUCUGGCAUCGAUGAAGAACGCAGCGAAAUGCGAUAAGUAGUGUGAAUUGCAGAAUUCAGUGAAUCAUCGAAUCUUUGAACGCACAUUGCGCCCCUUGGUAUUCCAUGGGGCAUGCCUGUUCGAGCGUCAUUUGUACCUUCAAGCUUUGCUUGGUGUUGGGUGUUUGUCUCGCCUCCGCGUGUAGACUCGCCUCAAAACAAUUGGCAGCCGGCGUAUUGAUUUCGGAGCGCAGUACAUCUCGCGCUUUGCACUCAUAACGACGACGUCCAAAAGUACAUUUUUACACUCUUGACCUCGGAUCAGGUAGGGAUACCCGCUGAACUUAAGCAUAUCAU
RNAcentral lists this ribosomal RNA (505 nucleotides) under Pleosporales sp. HGGJ-10. RNAcentral describes it as "eukaryotic LSU rRNA". The stretch from base 146 to 299 matches the Rfam family "5.8S ribosomal RNA". The record is from RNAcentral. Lineage: Eukaryota; Fungi; Ascomycota; Dothideomycetes; Pleosporales.